UCUACGGCCAUACCACCCUGAACGCACCCGAUCUCGUCUGAUCUCGAAAGUUCAAUGAGAUGGGAGAGCAUACACAUAGAAAGAUUAAAGAGGUAAGAA
RNAcentral lists this ribosomal RNA (99 nucleotides) under Ochotona princeps (American pika). Lineage: Eukaryota; Metazoa; Chordata; Mammalia; Lagomorpha; Ochotonidae. The record is from RNAcentral.